GGAUAGUGAUGGAGAAUUCAAUAUAUGAAGGUUUAUGAUAGAUUUUGUCUAGGUAACAAUAUAGUUUUAGAUUUGAUCUCUAGUGUAAGUUAUCACAAUUAAUUGGUUUUUGGUUAGUUUUGCUGAAAGGAAUUGAUUUAAGUUUUAUGUUUUCAGUUUAAAUAACAUGAUCUAUAAAAUUGAUUGAGACUUAUAUUGUAUGGAUCUUGAAAAGAUAGGGGCGACAACGAUGGAGCUUGCGAUUAGGGUUUUACAUAAAAAUAAUUAAAUUGUUUUUUGUUUUGUUUUUGGUUUCGUUUUUUUUUUUGUCACGUUGGUGGAUCUGCGAUGUUUUUUGAGAUGAUUAUUGUUUGGUCAUAUUUUGGUGGAUAUACUUGUUUAUAAGUUCGAUUUAAAAUUUAUAUGUACACGGGAAGAUAGGGUAUUCAGUUGCGGUUUAAUUUGUAUGGUUUUUAGAUUUUGAUUAAUUCUUUUUCAUAUCAAAAAAACAUAUGGAAUAUUUAAAAUGCUGGUUUUCGGAUCUACAAAUAUAUUGCUGCAAUUGGUUCAAAAUAAAUUUUGUUUUUCUUUUCCUGUUGGAUCGACUAUGAUUUACCAGAUCUUAUCUGGAGACUGGUUGUAAAUAAUUAAAAUAUUUUUAUCAACAUGUACCUUAAUUAUUUGUUGAACAUUUCCAAAGAACUAUAUUCCUAAAAAAUAUUUAUAUAGUUUAAUAAGAAAAAUAAAUGGAAAAUAAGAUUCAAAUUUAGUUGUGAAUGUAACUUACAAAAUUAAGAUUCAAAUAUUGGACUUGGAACUUACAAAAUUAAGAUUCAAAUAGACCGGAAAGCUAAAAUUAAAAGCUGCACAUUUAUCUACAUCCAUUUAUAAC
Molecule: long non-coding RNA, 871 nt
Filed under: Brassica rapa (field mustard)
Lineage: Eukaryota; Viridiplantae; Streptophyta; Magnoliopsida; Brassicales; Brassicaceae
Description: long non-coding RNA (BRAP_LNC006990)
Source: RNAcentral